GAUGAACGCUGGCGGCGUGCCUAAUACAUGCAAGUCGAACGAGGUUAGACUCGUCUAACCUAGUGGCGAACGGGUGAGUAACACGUAGGUAACCUGCCCUUCAGUUGGGAAUACCUAGAGGAAACUUUAGUUAAUACCGAAUAAUUACGAGGAAGGCAUCUUCCUUUUAUAAAAGCAGCAAUUGCUGCGCUGAUGGAUGGACCUGCGGCGCAUUAGCUAGUUGGUAGGGUAACGGCCUACCAAGGCUCGGAUGCGUAGCCGACCUGAGAGGGUGAUCGGCCACAAUGGGACUGAGACACGGCCCAUACUCCUACGGGAGGCAGCAGUAGGGAGUUUUCGGCAAUGGGGGAAACCCUAACCGAGCAACGCCGCGUGAACGAUGAAGGUCUUCGGAUCGUAAAGUUCUGUUGUAGUUAGGGAAAGUGCGGGAGAGUGGAAAGCUCUCGUUUUGACCCGACUACCAGAAAGCCAACGGCUAACUACGUG
This 486-nucleotide ribosomal RNA is filed under the name uncultured bacterium. RNAcentral's name for it is "bacterial SSU rRNA". It matches the Rfam family "Bacterial small subunit ribosomal RNA", at positions 28 to 507 of the family's 1533-position model. The record is from RNAcentral.